GUGAGUAUAGCUCAGUGGUACAGGGUACGCUUAGCAUGCCUGAGGUCCUGGGUUCAAUCCCCAGUACCUCCA
Molecule: transfer RNA, 72 nt
Filed under: Camelus bactrianus (Bactrian camel)
Lineage: Eukaryota; Metazoa; Chordata; Mammalia; Artiodactyla; Camelidae
Also listed under: 1 other name
Rfam family: tRNA
About the family: Transfer RNA (tRNA) molecules are approximately 80 nucleotides in length. Their secondary structure includes four short double-helical elements and three loops (D, anti-codon, and T loops). Further hydrogen bonds mediate the characteristic L-shaped molecular structure. tRNAs have two regions of fundamental functional importance: the anti-codon, which is responsible for specific mRNA codon recognition, and the 3' end, to which the tRNAs corresponding amino acid is attached (by aminoacyl-tRNA synthetases). tRNAs cope with the degeneracy of the genetic code in two manners: having more than one tRNA (with a specific anti-codon) for a particular amino acid; and 'wobble' base-pairing, i.e. permitting non-standard base-pairing at the 3rd anti-codon position.
Source: Rfam by way of RNAcentral